This 417-nucleotide ribosomal RNA is filed under the name Triticum aestivum (bread wheat). Its description in RNAcentral is "partial small subunit ribosomal RNA". The record is from RNAcentral. Lineage: Eukaryota; Viridiplantae; Streptophyta; Magnoliopsida; Poales; Poaceae.
AUGGCAUACCUAUACAAGGGUUCAAGUUUCGAUCGAUAUUUGCAGAGUGGAUCAUCCCUAGUUGUCCAUAAUUUACUGAGUACUUGGUAUAACUCACGCAUUCGUGUACAAACAAGUGCAAACGAAGUAACACGAAUAUCUCCGGUAGUCAGUCUAUUUCCAUCAGCCGACCGGUGAGAGCGAGAAGUAUGGGAUAUGUCUGGUGUUUCUUCCAUCAAUCAUCCGGAUUUACGCCAUAUAUCAACAUAUUAUGGUUUCGAGGGUCAUCCAUUACGAAAAGACUUUCCUCUAAGUGGAUAUGUGGAAGUACGCUAUGAUGAUCCAGAGAAAUGUGUGGUUUCUGAACCCAUUGAGAUGACCCAAGAAUUUCGCUAUUUCAAUUUUGCUAGUCCUUGGGAACAGCGUAGUGACGGAUAA